Molecule: long non-coding RNA, 623 nt
Organism: Populus trichocarpa (black cottonwood)
Lineage: Eukaryota; Viridiplantae; Streptophyta; Magnoliopsida; Malpighiales; Salicaceae
Exons: 2
Source: RefSeq, a predicted model, not a curated record
AUCCUUCCAUAUUUGCUCGCGUCCAGUCCAUCACAGCUUAUUUAGCGCCCAUAGUAGGCAGUUCACAUACUAAAAAGGGCCUUACAGGGGCAAAAAUGAGUUGUCACACUCCUCUCCGCCAUUCUUCAAUAUUUGCUGGCGUCCAGUCCAUCAAGGCUCCGUCCUAGUUUAAAAGCCAUGUCAUUAAGGAAGCAAUGAAAAUGAAGCUUUUUUUUUUAUAAAGGAACUGUGCGAUCUAACGCGAGAAGGCGUUGAAAAAUAUACGAAUACUGGUGAGGAUAUACAGUGAUUUUGAGAUUUUUGCUUAGUAUGGAGGAUGAUGGUGGGAAAACUUGGGAGUAGCUAAUAUAUAAGUCUCUAGGGUUCUUAUAGUUGCGAAAAAAAUAAAUGAUGGAGAUGUAUUCAAGAGUGAAAUUUUAAGAGAAAGAAAGGAUCAGUGGUUCUGGUUAAGAGGUUUACUGGUGCGGGUUUAUGCAAGAGUUUAUAGAAGAUCAUAAUAUGUGAUGUACUGUGGGUUCUAUUAAUUAAAUGUAAUAAUUUCAGGUCAAAAUCUUAAAUUUUCAGAUAUUGUUUGGAUGUUAAGGCAUGUUUAUUUUUUGAAUUUUCUUAAUGUUAACGUAUUC